This 64-nucleotide transfer RNA is filed under the name Paroster macrosturtensis. RNAcentral describes it as "tRNA-Glu". The record is from RNAcentral. Lineage: Eukaryota; Metazoa; Arthropoda; Insecta; Coleoptera; Dytiscidae. RNAcentral also lists the same sequence under 1 other name.
AUUUAUAUAGUUUAAUAAAAACAUUAUAUUUUCAAUAUAAAAAUAAAAAUAAUUUUUAUAAAUA